GCUUCAGUUUUCAGGGACAUUGAUGUGAUGACCAUCAUUCACCAUCUGUGGCGAGGAAGGACCGUUUCCAAUUUCGUCCGCAGAGCUAAACGAAGAAAGUCAAGACUAAGCAACCAGGGAAGCGCUCAGUCAGAAGAUAGGCAGCAAUCUCACGGGAUACAGGUGCACAUUUUUACGACAAAAGACAAACCAUUCACUCACCAUUCACACAAACACAAAGUUGUUUUUAAUUAUCAGGCAAAUAAAUUAAGAAUAUAA
Haliotis rubra (blacklip abalone) is the source of this 258-nucleotide long non-coding RNA. RefSeq lists it as uncharacterized. The transcript is spliced from 2 exons. The record is from RefSeq and is a predicted model, not a curated record. NCBI's taxonomy places the organism in Eukaryota, Metazoa, Mollusca, Gastropoda, Lepetellida, Haliotidae.